ACCUAAUAGAUACCCCGGGGUAGUCCACGCCCUAAACGAUGCGAACUGGAUGUUGGGUACAUUACGGUACUCAGUGUCGAAAGCUAAACGCGUUAAGUUCGCCGCCUGGGGAGUACGGUCGCAAGACUGAAACUCAAAGGAAUUGACGGGGGUCCCGCACAAGCGGUGGAGUAUGUGGUUUAAUUCGAUGCAACGCGAAGAACCUUACCUGGCCUUGACACCUGUCGAAUCCUGCAGAGAUGCGGGUAGUGCCGCAAGGAACGACAAGACAGGUGCUGCAUGGCUGUCGUCAGCUCGUGUCGUGAGAUGUUGGGUUAAGUCCCGCAACGAGCGCAACCCUUGUCCCUAGUUGCCAGCACAUCAUGGUGGGAACUCUAGGGAGACUGCCGGUGACAAACC
This 399-nucleotide ribosomal RNA is filed under the name uncultured bacterium. RNAcentral's name for it is "bacterial SSU rRNA". It matches the Rfam family "Bacterial small subunit ribosomal RNA", at positions 772 to 1164 of the family's 1533-position model. The record is from RNAcentral.